Molecule: long non-coding RNA, 685 nt
Organism: Prunus persica (peach)
Lineage: Eukaryota; Viridiplantae; Streptophyta; Magnoliopsida; Rosales; Rosaceae
Exons: 3
Source: RefSeq, a predicted model, not a curated record
AGAGUAUCCGAAUGGCAAACCCGGCGAUUGUAUGCUCCCAUACUGUGAAAGGUGUUUCGAAAGUACAUUCAGAAUUGCUAAAAGCAAAAUUAUUCAAGGACUUCUAUGAGCUGUGGCCUCUGAAAUUUCAAUGCAAGACAAAUGGUGUUACCCAGACCUUGUCUUGAAUCAAUGUCAACACGGGGCCCAAAGAACCACCUUCUUCAUCAUUCACAAAGUACUUAGACACAGGGCCAAGGCUGUAGACCCUCUGAAAAUCAGACCCACCAUUAGCAGCAACAGCAGAGCAAUUAAGAACAGAGUGGCUGGUGAGGAGCCUGAGGAUUCUAUCGACCAUCAUGGGUGCCUCAGGGUUCUUGGUGCCAAUCUUGGCUGCGAUCUCAGACGAAGAGAGCUUGGCGCCUGGACCCUCUCUGGCUAUGAUAUCAAAAACGCCAAGCUCAAUUGCUGAUUGCAGAGACAUGGAGAGCACAGAAGAACCCACCAGCUGGAUGGCAUAGCAGAAGCUUUCAUCUUCCUCUUCCUUUGUAAUUUCAUCCUCAGGCUCAGCAUGAUUUAUUUUGGGAUGGCUUUUUCUCUCCAAUGAAGAAGCCAUUGGACUGUCUAUAUGUUUACGUUCUGAAACUCAUUGCUAGUGGAAUGGGUUUACUUAUAGCUAGGAAACAUAACAUACAAUUCACGUAGC